CACGUAGGGGGCAAGCGUUGUCCGGAUUUAUUGGGCGUAAAGAGCUCGUAGGUGGUUCGGUAAGUCGGGUGUUAAACCCCCAGGCUCAACCUGGGGACGCCACUCGAUACUGCUGUGACUAGAGUCCGGUAGGGGAGCGUGGAAUUCCUGGUGUAGCGGUGAAAUGCGCAGAUAUCAGGAGGAACACCAGCGGCGAAGGCGGUUCUCUGGGCAUUACCUGACGCUGAGGAGCGAAAGUGUGGGGAGCGAACAGG
This 254-nucleotide ribosomal RNA is filed under the name uncultured bacterium. Its description in RNAcentral is "partial 16S ribosomal RNA". It matches the Rfam family "Bacterial small subunit ribosomal RNA", at positions 524 to 776 of the family's 1533-position model. The record is from RNAcentral.